UGGGGAAUCUUGCGCAAUGGGCGAAAGCCUGACGCAGCAACGCCGCGUGAGCGAAGACGGCCUUCGGGUUGUAAAGCUCUGUCAGGAGGGACGAAGCCACUCGGGUGAACAGCCCAGAGGGUGACGGUACCUCCAGAGGAAGCCCCGGCUAACUACGUGCCAGCAGCCGCGGUAAUACGUAGGGGGCUAGCGUUGUCCGGAAUCAUUGGGCGUAAAGCGCGUGUAGGCGGCUUGGCAAGUCCGAUGUGAAAGCUCGAGGCUCAACCUCGAGUCUGCAUUGGAAACUGCCUGGCUAGAGUCCGGAAGAGGGGACUGGAAUUCCUGGUGUAGCGGUGAAAUGCGCAGAUAUCAGGAAGAACACCGGUGGCGAAGGCGGGUCCCUGGGACGGUACUGACGCUGAGACGCGAAAGCGUGGGGAGCAAACAGG
Molecule: ribosomal RNA, 428 nt
Filed under: uncultured Actinomycetes bacterium
Lineage: Bacteria; Bacillati; Actinomycetota; Actinomycetes
Description: bacterial SSU rRNA
Rfam family: Bacterial small subunit ribosomal RNA
Source: RNAcentral